AGGAGUGGGGUGGCCGUGAGAUCCCAGACGAGCCCCCAAAUGAAAGGUUCCUGCCGAUAACCGGCUGAUUCUCCUUGUCCAGGGAGUGCUACGGCGACCCCAAUCACC
This 108-nucleotide microRNA precursor is filed under the name Tupaia belangeri (northern tree shrew). Its description in RNAcentral is "miRNA (ENSTBEG00000020912.1)". The record is from RNAcentral. Lineage: Eukaryota; Metazoa; Chordata; Mammalia; Scandentia; Tupaiidae.